RNAcentral lists this ribosomal RNA (253 nucleotides) under uncultured bacterium. Its description in RNAcentral is "partial 16S ribosomal RNA". It matches the Rfam family "Bacterial small subunit ribosomal RNA", at positions 524 to 776 of the family's 1533-position model. The record is from RNAcentral.
UACAGAGGUCUCAAGCGUUGUUCGGAUUCAUUGGGCGUAAAGGGUGCGUAGGCGGCGCGGUAAGUCGGGUGUGAAAUCUCGGAGCUUAACUCCGAAACUGCAUUCGAUACUGCCGUGCUUGAGGACUGGAGAGGAGACUGGAAUUUACGGUGUAGCGGUGAAAUGCGUAGAUAUCGUAAGGAAGACCAGUGGCGAAGGCGGGUCUCUGGACAGAUUCUGACGCUGAGGCACGAAAGCUAGGGGAGCAAACGGG